This 400-nucleotide ribosomal RNA is filed under the name phytoplankton environmental sample. Its description in RNAcentral is "partial small subunit ribosomal RNA". It matches the Rfam family "Eukaryotic small subunit ribosomal RNA", at positions 587 to 969 of the family's 1831-position model. The record is from RNAcentral.
AGCUCUAAUAGCGUAUAUUAAAGUUGUUGCGGUUAAAAAGCUCGUAGUUGAAUCUUGGCGCGGCAGGGGUCGGUCCGCCCACUGGGCGUGCGCCGGCUCGGCCGUGCUCUGCUGCCAGAUACGCGCCGGUGCACUUAACUGUGUGCCGGUCAGGUUUCGGCCGGCGUUCUGGCUCUUUUACUUUGAGUAAAUUAGAGUGUUCAAAGCAGGCAAAUCUUUCAGCCACUGAAUACAUUAGCAUGGGAUAAUGGAAUAGGACUUUGGUUCUAUUUUGUUGGUUUCUAGGACCGAAGUAAUGAUUAAUAGGGACAGUUGGGGGCAUUAGUAUUUAAUUGUCAGAGGUGAAAUUCUUGGAUUUAUUAAAGACGAACUACUGCGAAAGCAUUUGCCAAGGAUGUUU